GUCUUUUGUGGUUCCCUGAAGAUCCAGCUCUGGGGUGAAAAUGAAAUCCUUGCAACUCUGCAUGCCAUUUCAAGCAAAAACCAGAUCUGGAGAUCGUAUAUUGGCAUGGGCUAUUAUAACUGCUCAGUGCCACAGACGAUUUUGCGGAACUUACUGGAGAACUCAGGAUGGAUCACCCAGUAUACUCCAUACCAGCCUGAGGUGUCUCAAGGGAGGCUGGAGAGUUUACUCAACUACCAGACCAUGGUGUGUGACAUCACAGGCCUGGACAUGGCCAAUGCAUCCCUGCUGGAUGAGGGGACUGCAGCCGCAGAGGCGCUGCAGCUGUGCUACAGACACAACAAGAGGAGGAAAUUUUUUGUUGACCCCCGUUGCCACCCACAGACAAUAGCUGUUGUCCAGACUCGAGCCAAAUAUACUGGAGUCCUCACUGAGCUGAAGUUACCCUGUGAAAUGGACUUUAGUGGAAAAGAUGUCAGCGGAGUGUUGUUCCAGUACCCAGACACGGAGGGGAAGGUGGAAGACUUUACGGAACUCGUGGAGAGAGCUCAUCAGAGUGGGAGCCUGGCCUGCUGUGCUACUGACCUUUUAGCUUUGUGCAUCUUGAGGCCACCUGGAGAAUUUGGGGUAGACAUUGCCCUGGGCAGCUCACAGAGAUUUGGAGUGCCACUGGGCUAUGGGGGACCCCAUGCAGCCUUUUUUGCUGUCCGAGAAAGCUUGGUGAGAAUGAUGCCUGGAAGAAUGGUGGGGGUAACAAGAGACGCCACUGGGAAAGAAGUGUAUCGUCUUGCUCUUCAAACCAGGGAGCAACACAUUCGGAGAGACAAGGCUACCAGCAACAUCUGUACAGCUCAGGCCCUCUUGGCGAAUAUGGCUGCCAUGUUUGCAAUCUACCAUGGUUCCCAUGGGCUGGAGCAUAUUGCUAGGAGGGUACAUAAUGCCACUUUGAUUUUGUCAGAAGGUCUCAAGCGAGCAGGGCAUCAACUCCAGCAUGACCUGUUCUUUGAUACCUUGAAGAUUCAGUGUGGCUGCUCAGUGAAGGAGGUCUUGGGCAGGGCCGCUCAGCGGCAGAUCAAUUUUCGGCUUUUUGAGGAUGGCACACUUGGUAUUUCUCUUGAUGAAACAGUCAAUGAAAAAGAUCUGGACGAUUUGUUGUGGAUCUUUGGUUGUGAGUCAUCUGCAGAACUGGUUGCUGAAAGCAUGGGAGAGGAGUGCAGAGGUAUUCCAGGGUCUGUGUUCAAGAGGACCAGCCCGUUCCUCACCCAUCAAGUGUUCAACAGCUACCACUCUGAAACAAACAUUGUCCGGUACAUGAAGAAACUGGAAAAUAAAGACAUUUCCCUUGUUCACAGCAUGAUUCCACUGGGAUCCUGCACCAUGAAACUGAACAGUUCAUCUGAACUCGCACCUAUCACAUGGAAAGAAUUUGCAAACAUCCACCCCUUUGUGCCUCUGGACCAAGCUCAAGGAUAUCAGCAGCUUUUCCGAGAGCUUGAGAAGGAUUUGUGUGAACUCACAGGUUAUGACCAGGUCUGUUUCCAGCCAAACAGCGGAGCUCAGGGAGAAUAUGCUGGACUGGCCACUAUCCGAGCCUACUUAAACCAGAAAGGAGAGGGACACAGAACGGUUUGCCUCAUUCCAAAGUCAGCACAUGGGACCAACCCAGCAAGUGCCCACAUGGCAGGCAUGAAGAUUCAGCCUGUGGAGGUGGAUAGAUAUGGGAAUAUCGAUGCAGUUCACCUCAAGGCCAUGGUGGAUAAGCACAAGGAGAACCUAGCAGCCAUCAUGAUUACAUACCCAUCCACCAAUGGGGUGUUUGAAGAAAACAUCAGUGACGUGUGUGACCUCAUCCAUCAACAUGGAGGACAGGUCUACCUAGACGGGGCAAAUAUGAACGCUCAGGUGGGAAUCUGUCGCCCUGGAGACUUUGGAUCUGAUGUCUCACACCUAAAUCUUCACAAGACCUUCUGCAUUCCCCAUGGAGGAGGUGGUCCUGGCAUGGGGCCCAUCGGAGUGAAGAAACAUCUUGCCCCGUUUUUGCCCAAUCAUCCCAUCAUUUCACUAAAGCGGAAUGAGGAUGCCUGUCCUGUGGGAACCGUCAGUGCAGCCCCAUGGGGCUCCAGUUCCAUCUUGCCUAUUUCCUGGGCUUAUAUCAAGAUGAUGGGAGGCAAGGGUCUUAAACAAGCCACGGAAACUGCGAUAUUAAAUGCCAAUUACAUGGCCAAGCGAUUAGAAAAACACUACAGAAUUCUUUUCAGGGGUGCAAGAGGUUAUGUGGGUCAUGAAUUUAUUUUGGACACGAGACCCUUCAAAAAGUCUGCAAAUAUUGAGGCUGUGGAUGUGGCCAAGAGACUCCAGGAUUAUGGAUUUCACGCCCCUACCAUGUCCUGGCCUGUGGCAGGGACCCUCAUGGUUGAGCCCACUGAGUCGGAGGACAAGGCAGAGCUGGACAGAUUCUGUGAUGCCAUGAUCAGCAUUCGGCAGGAAAUUGCUGACAUUGAGGAGGGCCGCAUCGACCCCAGGGUCAAUCCGCUGAAGAUGUCUCCACACUCCCUGACCUGCGUUACAUCUUCCUGCUGGGACCGGCCUUAUUCCAGAGAGGUGGCAGCAUUCCCACUCCCCUUCGUGAAACCAGAGAACAAAUUCUGGCCAACGAUUGCCCGGAUUGAUGACAUAUAUGGAGAUCAGCACCUGGUUUGUACCUGCCCACCCAUGGAAGUUUAUGAGUCUCCAUUUUCUGAACAAAAGAGGGCCUCUUCUUAGUCCUCUCUCCCUAAGUUUAGAGGACUGAUUUGAUGCCUCUCCCGAGAGCAUUUGAUAAGCAAGAAAGAUUUCAUCUCCCACCCCAGCCUCAAGUAGGAGUUUUAUGUACUGUGUAUAUCUCUGUAAUCUCUGUCAAGGUAAAUGUAAAUACAGUAGCUGGAGGGAGUUGAAGCUGAUGGGUGGAAGACGAAUUUGCUUUGGUAUUCUGCUUCUACGUGUGCCAGUUGCCUGGAUUGGGAGCCAUUUUGUGUUUUGCAUAGAAAGUUUUAGGAACUUUUUUUAAUGUGGCAAGUUUGCAGACGUUAUAGAGGCUAUCCCUGGAGACUUAAUAGACAUUUUUUUGUUCCAAAAGAGUCCAUGUGGACUGUGCCAUCUGUGGGAAAUCCCAGGGCAAAUGUUUACAUUUUGUAUACCCUGAAGAACUCUUUUUCCUCUAAUAUGCCUAAUCUGUAAUCAUAUUUCUGAGUGUUUUUCCUCUUUUUCUGUGUGAGGUUUUUUUUAUCUGCAUUUAUUACUAUUCUAAUAAAA
Molecule: small RNA, 3291 nt
Filed under: Pongo abelii (Sumatran orangutan)
Lineage: Eukaryota; Metazoa; Chordata; Mammalia; Primates; Hominidae
Description: processed transcript
Source: RNAcentral